AUGUAUACGAGCCCUCGAGGCCCCUGGCUUUGUACGAUUGAAUCGAGGGCGUCACACAGCUCGAGGCCACCAAUGGCGUCGUGCCCUUUGGCAGGCUCAACUCUGAGGGGCGGCGCCGAUGGUGGCGCGUGCCCGGCCGCACGCUGGAGGCCGUCCUCGAGUACAUCGAGGGCGGCAACACGGCGAGGCUGGAGUAUCCCGACCCCCCGUCCUUUUCUCGCCGCCGUGGGAGCUCGUGGACGCCGAGGCACAUGGACCCCGGGGCGUCCUCCUCCUCGUCCGGUCGGUCGACGAGCUCUCCCUGCCUCCACCCCGUCAAGCCGGAGCCCCAGGACACGCCUGUCAGCCGGCGCACCCGUAGCUCCGGCGUCCGCAUCGCCGACUCCACCCCUGCCUCUGGCCGCCUCGUCCUCGUCACGCCCAAGCCGGAGCCCGGCCUCCCCCCGGAGUACAAGGAGAUAG
This 462-nucleotide ribosomal RNA is filed under the name Triticum aestivum (bread wheat). RNAcentral's name for it is "partial small subunit ribosomal RNA". The record is from RNAcentral. Lineage: Eukaryota; Viridiplantae; Streptophyta; Magnoliopsida; Poales; Poaceae.